CAUAGCGACUAUCGUGGCAUAUCAAUAAGCGGAGGGAAAAGAAACUAACAAGGAUUCCCUUAGUAACGGCGAGUGAAGCGGGAAGAGCUCAAAUUUGAAAUCUUCAAGGUUUUACCUUGACGAAUUGUAGUUUAAAGAAGUGUUUUCUGUUGAAGUUUUGGUAAAAGUUCUUUGGAAUAGGACAUCAUAGAGGGUGAGAAUCCCGUAUUUGACCAUUAUUUUCAGCUGUGUGAUACACUUUCAAAGAGUCGGAUUGUUUGGGAAUGCAGUCCAAAAUGGGUGGUAAAUUUCAUCUAAAGCUAAAUAUCGGCGAGAGACCGAUAGCGAACAAGUACCGUGAGGGAAAGAUGAAAAGAACUUUGAAAAGAGAGUUAAACAGUACGUGAAAUUGUCAAAAGGGAAGCGUUUGACACCAGUGUUGUUUCCUCGAAAAUCAAUUAAAAAAGGCCGGAUUUUGUGUUGUAUUGACCUUAAAAGCUUUCUUCACUCUUUUCUUGUCUUUUUUAAUGCACUUUUCGUUUAACAAGUCAACAUCAGUUUCUUUUGUUGUAAAAGGGUCAUUGGAAGGUGGCUUUCUUUUCGGAGAAAGUGUUUAUAGCCUUUGAUCUCUGCAACCGGAGAGACUGAGGUCUGCAGCGUAGACUCUUCGGGGUUAGAUACAUUUGUGCUAAGCUAUAGCUUUUUAUAGACAACUUGUUGACUAUAUUUAGUCUUGUGGCUUACUCGCUUAUGCUAUUUUACCUACGCUUAGGAUGUUGAUAGUCACAGCGUGUAC
Molecule: ribosomal RNA, 775 nt
Filed under: uncultured Neocallimastigales
Lineage: Eukaryota; Fungi; Neocallimastigomycota; Neocallimastigomycetes; Neocallimastigales
Description: partial large subunit ribosomal RNA
Rfam family: Eukaryotic large subunit ribosomal RNA
Source: RNAcentral